AGCUUAAUGGUAAAGCACCCAACCGGCAAUUGGGGGAUCUGGGUUCAAGUCCCGG
RNAcentral lists this transfer RNA (55 nucleotides) under Strigamia maritima. It matches the Rfam family "tRNA", at positions 9 to 63 of the family's 71-position model. From Rfam's summary of the family: Transfer RNA (tRNA) molecules are approximately 80 nucleotides in length. Their secondary structure includes four short double-helical elements and three loops (D, anti-codon, and T loops). The record is from Rfam by way of RNAcentral. Lineage: Eukaryota; Metazoa; Arthropoda; Chilopoda; Geophilomorpha; Linotaeniidae.